GUAUGAGGCACCACUGAUUUAGUUGGUUUGACUGCACUCCGGCCGCUCUGCCUCAUUAGCCAAUCACUGCGCUUACAGAGGGGAGAAAAGUAGGCUGUGUCCCUCCUCCUGAUCUCUCGCUCCCGGGUCGUUGUAUGUGCCGCUAGCAUCCGAGCACAGAUCCGGCGUCUUCACCACGGUCGAGCCGAUCGUUCGUGGGCGGUGUUUAUUGCUGCAACCAGAGCAUUGUCUGCUGGUUGUGUGCUGCAUGGUGGCUGUCUUCCCUGCCACGACUGAUCUCUUCACCCCUCUCCCUCUUUGGACGG
Long non-coding RNA from Solea senegalensis (Senegalese sole), 305 nucleotides. RefSeq lists it as uncharacterized. The record is from RefSeq and is a predicted model, not a curated record. Lineage: Eukaryota; Metazoa; Chordata; Actinopteri; Pleuronectiformes; Soleidae. The transcript is spliced from 3 exons.